RNAcentral lists this ribosomal RNA (376 nucleotides) under uncultured bacterium. RNAcentral's name for it is "bacterial SSU rRNA". It matches the Rfam family "Bacterial small subunit ribosomal RNA", at positions 524 to 898 of the family's 1533-position model. The record is from RNAcentral.
UACGUAGGUGGCAAGCGUUGUCCGGAUUUACUGGGCGUAAAGGGAGCGUAGGCGGAUACUUAAGUGGGAUGUGAAAUACCUGGGCUUAACUUGGGUGCUGCAUUCCAAACUGGGUGUCUAGAGUGUUGGAGAGGAAAGUGGAAUUCCUAGUGUAGCGGUGAAAUGCGUAGAGAUUAGGAAGAACACCAGUGGCGAAGGCGACUUUCUGGACAAUAACUGACGCUGAGGCUCGAAAGCGUGGGGAGCAAACAGGAUUAGAUACCCUGGUAGUCCACGCCGUAAACGAUGGGUACUAGGUGGAGGAGGGAGCGACUCCGCCUGUGCCGCCGUUAACACAAUAAGUACCCCGCCUGGGGAGUACGGUCGCAAGAUUAAA